GUGUUUAGAAUCUAGUGUUCUCUUUAAGUGCUGUAAGUUAUAGUCUGUUGCUGGGACUGAUAGAAUUAUGUUGUUGAGCGAGUAGUAAUCUGGAGGUUUGUAACCAUAAUGAUGUUAAUCUUCAUCUUUGUUAAUGCUGUUAACUGAAGAAUUUAAAUCUGUUAUAUCGGAUCUUUACUGAAUAGGAUAAUGUAUUAUAACAUUUGACAGUCAUGCUUAUCUAAAACACUGUAUAGGU
RNAcentral lists this unclassified non-coding RNA (238 nucleotides) under Hevea brasiliensis (rubber tree). Lineage: Eukaryota; Viridiplantae; Streptophyta; Magnoliopsida; Malpighiales; Euphorbiaceae. The record is from RNAcentral.